This 509-nucleotide ribosomal RNA is filed under the name uncultured bacterium. Its description in RNAcentral is "bacterial SSU rRNA". It matches the Rfam family "Bacterial small subunit ribosomal RNA", at positions 14 to 518 of the family's 1533-position model. The record is from RNAcentral.
CGACUCUGGCUCAGGAUGAACGCUAGCGGCAGGCUUAACACAUGCAAGUCGAGGGGCAUCGGGAGUAGCAAUACUGCCGGCGACCGGCGCAAGGGUGCGUAACGCGUGAGCAACAUGCCCGUAUCAGGGGGAUAAUCCAUGGAAACGUGGUCUAAUACCCCAUAGUAAUUAUGUAAGGCAUCUUAUAUAAUUUAAAGCUUUGGUGGAUACGGAUUGGCUCGCGUGACAUUAGCUGGAUGGUAAGGUAACGGCUUACCAUGGCUACGAUGUCUAGGGGUUCUGAGAGGAAGGUCCCCCACACUGGAACUGAGACACGGUCCAGACUCCUACGGGAGGCAGCAGUGAGGAAUAUUGGACAAUGGAUGGAAAUCUGAUCCAGCCAUGCCGCGUGCCAGGAAGACGGCCCUAUGGGUUGUAAACUGCUUUUGUAUGGGAGCAAUAAGGGCUACGUGUAGUCCGAUGAGAGUACCAUACGAAUAAGCACCGGCUAACUCCGUGCCAGCCGCCGC